This is a small nuclear RNA of Suncus etruscus (white-toothed pygmy shrew), 171 nucleotides long. RefSeq annotates it as U1 spliceosomal RNA. Lineage: Eukaryota; Metazoa; Chordata; Mammalia; Eulipotyphla; Soricidae. The record is from RefSeq and is a predicted model, not a curated record. The transcript has a single exon.
AUACUUAUCUGGCAGAGGAGAUAUACCAUGAUCACGAAGGUGGUUUUCCCAGGGUGAGGCUUAUCCAUUGCACUUCGGAUGUGCUGACCCCAGCAAUUUCCCCAAACUGCAUAAUUUGUGGUAGUGGGGGACUAAAUUAAAAAAAAAAUCCAGGUAAACAGUUCUCUCUCU